UACGGGGGGGGCAAGCGUUGUUCGGAAUUACUGGGCGUAAAGGGCUCGUAGGCGGCCAACUAAGUCAGACGUGAAAUCCCUCGGCUUAACCGGGGAACUGCGUCUGAUACUGGAUGGCUAGAGUGUGGGAGAGGGAUGCGGAAUUCCAGGUGUAGCGGUGAAAUGCGUAGAUAUCUGGAGGAACACCGGUGGCGGAGGCGGCAUCCUGGGCCACGACUGACGCUGAGUGAGCGAAAGCCAGGGGAGCAAACGGG
This 254-nucleotide ribosomal RNA is filed under the name uncultured bacterium. RNAcentral's name for it is "partial 16S ribosomal RNA". It matches the Rfam family "Bacterial small subunit ribosomal RNA", at positions 524 to 776 of the family's 1533-position model. The record is from RNAcentral.